GUUUGGGGGAUAAAAAAAAGUACUGCCACAGCUCUGACUUCCAUGCAUCAAUGGUGGAACACAUGACUCUCACUCCUGGAAGAGCUGGUG
Sinocyclocheilus grahami is the source of this 90-nucleotide long non-coding RNA. RefSeq lists it as uncharacterized. The record is from RefSeq and is a predicted model, not a curated record. The transcript is spliced from 3 exons. NCBI's taxonomy places the organism in Eukaryota, Metazoa, Chordata, Actinopteri, Cypriniformes, Cyprinidae.